AUCACACAUUAUCAUAUCAAAAAUCUGACAGACAUGGAAGGCAGGUUUUCGCCAUGAAUUUCCAAAUUAUAUCUUGGAGGUACCACUGUGCUAUGUUAUUCCACCAACAAAAAAAAAAAACUUCCUCUGUUGUUCUUUAUGUUAAAUUAUCAAGGAAUAUUUGGACAACACAGGUCAAGAGAAAAAAAGACCCUGUCAAAAAAGUAGUGUUUGUUCUCUCCCUAAAUUAGCAAAGUUAAAAUGCCCCACCCAAAAAAGUCUGUUCUGAAUACUUUAGUCCACACUGUGUGUAUGCACAUAUUUAUGUGACUGCAUCAUUACAGGAAUGUCUCCCAUCAUUGAUACACAAUAUUAUUCUCAGGGACUAAUUGGACUAAACAUUGAGCUUCUUUGUGCUGUGAUCAAAUAAUUCUGUCCAUGUUAUGAUUAUUAUCGUUUUAAAUGAAAUGUCAGGUUUGUCUCCCCUGCCCAAUCCUAACGAUGGACAGUUUUUUGAAUUCUCUUGUUGUGGAAUGUGGACUCUUGAGACGCCAUUUUGGAUGCAAUGGUUAUGCCGCACCAAGUUCAAAGAAGCCACUAAUAACAUCACAAAUCUGUAAGUGUUCUCGACAGGCAUAUUGCAAUUUAUAACUGCAAACGUCUCAAAUGGCUUUAAAUUUUCCAAAAUUAAUCUGUUUGCAUCCAUGUUGUCUCAAUUAAUAGCGAUGGAUCAUACAUUCUAUUACCACAGAAAAAAUGCUCUCUUGCACUAAUUACUGUACUUGAGUCAAUAAUACAGCCUGCUAAUUUUUAAGUGAUAUGAAGGGGAAAGUGUAUUUAAAAAAAAAAAAUUUUAAAAAAAAGCAAUUACAUGUGUUUUAUUAUAGGGUCAGGGCCACUUUUUUUUAUACAGCCCUCUGAGGGUCAUGCAAAGUUAAUGAAAUAUGAUCCACAUUUUUGGGCUUUUAAAAAUAUUUUUAUUUGAAGAAAUGCAUGGCAGACUGCAUCUUUUGGCCCAGCCAUUUUAGUCAUGUUUAUAUGUGAAAGUGCAAAUAAGCUUCAUUUCAUCGCAGUUGAUGGAUGGAUGUUUUAUUACUCACAGCAUGUUUUGCUUUGUUUUGUUUUUUUAUGAAAAUGUUACAAGUCAACUUAGAGAAGUUUGUUAUUUAAAAAAAAAAUCACUGGUCAAGAAAUUCAAGUGGUAUUACACUGAAAAGGGGUCAAGUUUACAAAAAAAUGGUCCCAUGCGUUUGUGGGACUUUACACUGAAAGGAAUAUGAUUAAACACACUCCACGUUUGCAACUACUGCAUUAAAAACAUUCAAAUGCUAUUCCUUAUUAAAAAAUGUCAAUACAGCAUUUAUUUAAUGAAUGAAUCUAACGGUAUCCUCACUGUUCCUGUUAUUCCAUAUGCAGCCUUUUUUUGUUACGUGCCAACUUGAAUCAGUGUCAUUUUUAUAUUCACAUUUCUCAACUUUUUUUUUCUUCUCAUUUUGCCGUGUUGUACAUGUAGAAUAGGCCACGUGGAAAGUUAAAAACUGUGAUUUGGUGUGUAUGUGUUUGUGAGUUGAAAUGCAAACAUGUCGCUGGGUAGCAAUUGAAUAUUGGGCUUUUGUGGGUGUGUGUGACCAAUGGCGAAUAAAUUCCAUAUUUAAAUGAAUUAAAACCGGAAGUGUGUCCUCAGUUCUUUGAACCAGAUCACCGGCACAUGGAGGUUAUAAGCACUACUUAAUAGGCAUUAGUUUAUUUACGGUCAAUCAAACAGUAUGGUGGCAUGUUGAAAACAGUUUUAUUUUACAUUUUGCAAUCAUUUCUACUCUAUAUUUUUCAUUCUAAUUGUUUUUCUAUAAACGUCAUUAGUUAUUGCAUAGUUAGUUCUGCAGCUUUAUUUUCAAAAUCUGUUCAUCUGAAAAAAUUGGAUGAUAUUCAAAACAAUUCUGCAUGUCUACAAAAAUAUUCUAUUUGGCUUCAGUGUGAUGACAAGUGCAGAAUCCUCCAAAAAGAAUCCACGUUUUCAACAAUCAGGUCUACCAAACUGGGUCAUUGGUAGUGUAGCGGUUCACAUAGCUUGAUUCAAAGUCUGUGUCUCCAUUCACAAUUGUCCUGUGAUGAACCGGCUCCAAUUCCCUGUGACUCUCAAGGGGAUAAGCGCUAUUCAAAAUGAGUGAAGGGUGAAUCCUCUUAAUUCAAUCCCUUUUUGCGCCAUAAAAUGUCCAAAAAGUUGAAAGUCUUGCAAUAAAAAAAAAGUAGAACACAAAAUCUAUGUGACACAUGGUGACUUCCAGGUUGUCAACAUGUCAAAAUGAAUGCUCCGAAGUUGUUUCAUUUGAAAUACCCCCAAAAAUAAA
Hippocampus comes (tiger tail seahorse) is the source of this 2327-nucleotide long non-coding RNA. RefSeq lists it as uncharacterized. The record is from RefSeq and is a predicted model, not a curated record. NCBI's taxonomy places the organism in Eukaryota, Metazoa, Chordata, Actinopteri, Syngnathiformes, Syngnathidae. The transcript has 3 exons.